AUCCUUGCCUCUGUAUAUGAUAUUGAGCAAGCUGGUUGUGACCAGGGUGCUCAUGGGAAUGUACAGUACUUCAAACGUCCCCUUUUUAAUCUGACUCCCCCUUUUCUGUGUGAUCUGUUGCUGCUACCAGACCAGGGUGACCACAAAGCUGUACUUGUCUACAGCCCAAAUCCUUGUUCAAAUAAUUGUGUGCCUAAGUGGACAGUUGGGAUGGCUUUGAUGGCUGGUUCCACUGCUGAUAAAAUAAAGCGAUGGGAAAACUUUCAGCAGGGCAGUAGCAUCUCACUUUAUUAUCACCCUAUUCCGUUUUAAUGCAAGGGUGAGCCACUGUGGGCCACAGUGACUACAAUUCCCAUAAUCUCUCAUCAUUGACUAUGAUGGCUGGGGCUGAUGGAAACCAGAAGCACAAAACAUCCAGCAGUCCUGCCUCUGCAAUGGCCCCUCCACUCCCCCAUCUUCCCAAAUUGAGUGAAGUGUUCUAUCAUUAAAAUGUAAUCACCUUCAACUCAGUACACUUCAACACUGCUCCACUGGAUCGGAGCUCUCCUACAGGAGUUUCUAAGUGACAUGGAGAAGGGCCAAUGCAAUCAUCUGAAUAUGCUUUCCCUGUCAAUGAGGGGAGAAGGGAGUAACAGGGCAAGAAGCCCAUGCUUAGCUCCCUCUGCAGAGUCAAAACUGAAUUCCUGAGCAGGGCUUAAAUGUGGUGAGGGCUCCAAAGCUGGGAACAUUCAAGAGAACAUUGGACAACCAUCUAUCAGACCUACUUUGAUUUGGAUACCUGCACUGAGCAGGCGGCGGGACAUAAUGGCCUUAUAGGGCUCUUUCUAACCCCAUUAUUCUAUGAUUCUAUGUGUUGGGCCAUAGUGAUGAAAACAAGACACAGAAAUGGCUGGUUCUAGUUGCAGCUAUUGUCUCUGCUAUAGUGCCUAACCCCAGCCAUGUACUGCUAUAAACUCUCCCACGGUGUCUGCUCAUGUGUAGAAUUCCACAGGUUUGCAUUGAUCAUGGAUUUUCCCAAUCCCAAAGUAUCAGAAAUCUUUAAGAAGACAUCGAUACACACAUCAAUGAUUUUCAGCUUCAAGUACACAUAAUUAGAGCUACGGAAUAAUGUUGUGUUGCCAAUAUACUCUGGUUUCUCUACAGAUCGUAUAAAUCUUUGGCUGUGUUGCCAAGCAUAUUGUAUGGGGACUGAAGGGGUAGUGGAAAAGUGAAGGAAGCUUAGCUUAUUUAGUGAAAUCAUUUUCCUCUUUAAUGUAUUA
This 1259-nucleotide long non-coding RNA is filed under the name Pogona vitticeps (central bearded dragon). Its description in RNAcentral is "lncRNA (ENSPVIG00000015564.1)". Lineage: Eukaryota; Metazoa; Chordata; Lepidosauria; Squamata; Agamidae. The record is from RNAcentral.